UUCCGGUUGAUCCCGCCGGAGGUUACUGCUAUCGAGAUUCGACUAAGCCAUGCGAGUUGAAUGUUCUUCGUGAACAUGGCGGACUGCUCAGUAACACGUGGACAACCUACCCUUGGGUCCGGCAUAAUCCCGGGAAACUGGGAAUAAUUCCGGAUAGGUCACCGAUGCUGGAAUGCGCGGUGGCCGAAAGCUCCGGCGCCCGAGGAUGGGUCUGCGGCCUAUCAGGGUUGUAGUGGGUGUAACGUACCUACUAGCCUACGACGGGUACGGGUUGUGAGAGCAAGAGCCCGGAGAUGGAUUCUGAGACACGAAUCCAGGCCCUACGGGGUGCAGCAGGCGCGAAAACUUUACAAUGCGGGAAACCGUGAUAAGGGGAUCUCGAGUGCCAGCAUAUAAUGUUGGCUGUCCAGAUGCCUAAAAAGCAUCUGUUAGCAAGGGCCGGGCAAGACCGGUGCCAGCCGCCGCGGUAACACCGGCGGCCCGAGUGGUAACCGCUAUUAUUGGGUCUAAAGGGUCUGUAGCCGGCCAGGUAAGUCCCUUGGGAAAUCUGGCAGCUCAACUGUCAGGCUGCUAGGGGAUACUGUUUGGCUUGGGACCGGGAGAGGUGAGAGGUACCUUGGGGGUAGGGGUGAAAUCUUGUGAUCCUCGAGGGACCACCAGUGGCGAAGGCGUCUCACCAGAACGGGUCCGACGGUAAGGGACGAAAGCUAGGGGCACGAACCGGAUUAGAUACCCGGGUAGUCCUAGCCGUAAACGAUGCUCGCUAGGUGUCAGUCACGGUGCGACCGUGAUUGGUGCCGUAGGGAAGCCGUGAAGCGAGCCACCUGGGAAGUAUGGCCGCAAGGCUGAAACUUAAAGGAAUUGGCGGGGGGAGCACA
RNAcentral lists this ribosomal RNA (878 nucleotides) under uncultured archaeon. RNAcentral's name for it is "bacterial SSU rRNA". It matches the Rfam family "Archaeal small subunit ribosomal RNA", at positions 1 to 880 of the family's 1478-position model. The record is from RNAcentral.